This 267-nucleotide ribosomal RNA is filed under the name uncultured bacterium. Its description in RNAcentral is "partial 16S ribosomal RNA". It matches the Rfam family "Bacterial small subunit ribosomal RNA", at positions 73 to 339 of the family's 1533-position model. The record is from RNAcentral.
UCGGAGCUUGCUCCGGGAAGUUAGUGGCGGACGGGUGAGUAACGCGUGAGCAACCUGCCUGUGUGAGCGGAAUAACGUCCGGAAACAGACGCUAAUACCGCAUGACUCACGGACUUCGCAUGGAGACCGUGGCAAAGAUUUAUCGCACACAGAUGGGCUCGCGUCCGAUUAGGCAGUUGGUGAGGUAACGGCUCACCAAACCGACGAUCGGUAGCCGGACUGAGAGGUUGAACGGCCACAUUGGGACUGAGACACGGCCCAGACUCC